This is a non-coding RNA of Sciurus carolinensis (gray squirrel), 73 nucleotides long. The record is from the annotation of a RefSeq genome assembly. Lineage: Eukaryota; Metazoa; Chordata; Mammalia; Rodentia; Sciuridae.
UGGGGUGUGGCUCAGUUGGUAGAGCGCUUGCCUUGCAAGUACAAGGCCCUGGGUUCAAUCCCCAGCACUGCAA